UACAAACAAAAGGGAAAACAAGUGGUUUGGGUUCAGAGCCAAUGUCAUUAUUCUUUUCACUAUGUUUGUUCUAAUCUCAUUUCCAAUUCUUUUCUCUUUUACUAUGUAUUGCUCAGUUCUCUUUUUUCUUUGAUUUUGUCUUCUCUUUUUUUUUCAACUGAGUGUUUCUCAUUCGAUGAGUGCUUUUCUCGUAUCAUCGAAGAAAUUUUUUUCUUUUGUUUUCUUUUUUUUCGAUGGUCAUUUUUCUUAAUCUUUU
This 256-nucleotide long non-coding RNA is filed under the name Lathyrus oleraceus (garden pea). Its description in RNAcentral is "Pisum sativum (pea) long non-coding RNA (PSAT_LNC018447)". Lineage: Eukaryota; Viridiplantae; Streptophyta; Magnoliopsida; Fabales; Fabaceae. The record is from RNAcentral.